UCUCCAUGGCAGUGAGAAACGGUAG
RNAcentral lists this unclassified non-coding RNA (25 nucleotides) under Mus musculus (house mouse). RNAcentral describes it as "oocyte_clustered_small_RNA295". Lineage: Eukaryota; Metazoa; Chordata; Mammalia; Rodentia; Muridae. The record is from RNAcentral.